Hordeum vulgare subsp. vulgare (domesticated barley) is the source of this 140-nucleotide non-coding RNA. The record is from Rfam. NCBI's taxonomy places the organism in Eukaryota, Viridiplantae, Streptophyta, Magnoliopsida, Poales, Poaceae.
CUCAUACUCCCUCCGUCUCAAAAUUCUUGUCUUAGGUUUAUUUAGAAAUAAAUGUAUUCAAAUAUUAAAGCGUGACUAGAUACAUUUAUAUAUAGACAAAUGUAAGACAAGAAUUUUGAGACGGAAGGAGGGAGUACAAU